This is a non-coding RNA of Pelobates cultripes (western spadefoot toad), 286 nucleotides long. The record is from the annotation of a GenBank genome assembly. NCBI's taxonomy places the organism in Eukaryota, Metazoa, Chordata, Amphibia, Anura, Pelobatidae.
GGAUACAGGUUCAAGAGUGGAGCUACCACCAGCCACCUACACUAAAUGGAUGACAUCAAGCUUUAUGCCAAGAAAUGAGCGGGGCAUUGACUUACUUAUCCACCUAACUAGGAUAUACAGCAAGGACAUCAGAAUGUCAUGAGGACUAGAGAAGUGCAGGCAGAUGAUAGCAAAAAGAGGGAAGAUGAUCAGGAGAGAAGGAUUUGAAGUUCCAGAAGGCCAAAUAGAAGAUGUAGAGAACAGCUACAAGUACCUGUGGGUACCACAAACGAAUAGCAACCAUGAG